The sequence is a ribosomal RNA, 1425 nucleotides long. It matches the Rfam family "Bacterial large subunit ribosomal RNA", at positions 1450 to 2874 of the family's 2925-position model.
AUUGUUUGAACGAUGGGGGGACGCAGUAGGAUAGGCGAAGCGUGCUGUUGGAGUGCACGUCCAAGCAAUAAGACUGAGUGUUAGGCAAAUCCGGCACUCGUAAGGUUGAGUUGUGAUGGGGAGUUGGAUCAUGUAUCCGACGAGUCGUUGAUUUCACACUGCCAAGAAAAGCCUCUAGUUAGAAAAUAGGUGCCCGUACCGCAAACCGACACAGGUAGUCAAGAUGAGAAUUCUAAGGUGAGCGAGCGAACUCUCGUUAAGGAACUCGGCAAAAUGACCCCGUAACUUCGGGAGAAGGGGUGCUUUUUAGGGUGCAAGCCUUGAAGAGCCGCAGUGAAUAGGCCCAAGCGACUGUUUAUCAAAAACACAGGUCUCUGCUAAACCGUAAGGUGAUGUAUAGGGGCUGACGCCUGCCCGGUGCUGGAAGGUUAAGAGGAGUGGUUAGCUUCUGCGAAGCUACGAAUCGAAGCCCCAGUAAACGGCGGCCGUAACUAUAACGGUCCUAAGGUAGCGAAAUUCCUUGUCGGGUAAGUUCCGACCCGCACGAAAGGCGUAACGAUUUGGGCACUGUCUCAACGAGAGACUCGGUGAAAUCAUAGUACCUGUGAAGAUGCAGGUUACCCGCGACAGGACGGAAAGACCCCGUGGAGCUUUACUGUAGCCUGAUAUUGAAAUUUGGCACAGCUUGUACAGGAUAGGUAGGAGCCUUUGAAACGUGAGCGCUAGCUUACGUGGAGGCGCUGGUGGGAUACUACCCUGGCUGUGUUGACUUUCUAACCCGCACCAUUUGAUCAUGGUGGGAGACAGUGUCAGGCGGGCAGUUUGACUGGGGCGGUCGCCUCCUAAAGAGUAACGGAGGCGCUCAAAGGUUCCCUCAGAAUGGUUGGAAAUCAUUCGCAGAGUGUAAAGGCACAAGGGAGCUUGACUGCGAGACCUACAAGUCGAGCAGGGUCGAAAGACGGACUUAGUGAUCCGGUGGUUCCGCAUGGAAGGGCCAUCGCUCAACGGAUAAAAGCUACCCCGGGGAUAACAGGCUUAUCUCCCCCAAGAGUUCACAUCGACGGGGAGGUUUGGCACCUCGAUGUCGGCUCAUCGCAUCCUGGGGCUGUAGUCGGUCCCAAGGGUUGGGCUGUUCGCCCAUUAAAGCGGUACGCGAGCUGGGUUCAGAACGUCGUGAGACAGUUCGGUCCCUAUCCGUCGUGGGCGUAGGAAAUUUGAGAGGAGCUGUCCUUAGUACGAGAGGACCGGGAUGGACAUACCUCUGGUGUACCAGUUGUCGCGCCAGCGGCAUAGCUGGGUAGCUAUGUAUGGACGGGAUAAGUGCUGAAAGCAUCUAAGCAUGAAGCCCCCCUCAAGAUGAGAUUUCCCAACUUCGGUUAUAAGAUCCCUCAAAGAUGAUGAGGUUAAUAGGUUCGGGGUGUAAGC